This 1345-nucleotide ribosomal RNA is filed under the name uncultured bacterium. Its description in RNAcentral is "partial 16S ribosomal RNA". It matches the Rfam family "Bacterial small subunit ribosomal RNA", at positions 28 to 1381 of the family's 1533-position model. The record is from RNAcentral.
GACGAACGCUGGCGGCGUGCUUAACACAUGCAAGUCGAACGGAAAGGCCCUGCUUUUGUGGGGUGCUCGAGUGGCGAACGGGUGAGUAACACGUGAGUAACCUGCCCUUGACUUUGGGAUAACUUCAGGAAACUGGGGCUAAUACCGGAUAGGAGCUCCUGCUGCAUGGUGGGGGUUGGAAAGUUUCGGCGGUUGGGGAUGGACUCGCGGCUUAUCAGCUUGUUGGUGGGGUAGUGGCUUACCAAGGCUUUGACGGGUAGCCGGCCUGAGAGGGUGACCGGCCACAUUGGGACUGAGAUACGGCCCAGACUCCUACGGGAGGCAGCAGUGGGGAAUAUUGCACAAUGGGCGGAAGCCUGAUGCAGCAACGCCGCGUGCGGGAUGACGGCCUUCGGGUUGUAAACCGCUUUCGCCUGUGACGAAGCGUGAGUGACGGUAAUGGGUAAAGAAGCACCGGCUAACUACGUGCCGGCAGCCGCGGUGAUACGUAGGGUGCGAGCGUUGUCCGGAUUUAUUGGGCGUAAAGGGCUCGUAGGUGGUGAUCGCGUCGGAAGUGUAAUCUUGGGGCUUAACCCUGAGCGUGCUUUCGAUACGGGUGAACUGAAGGAAGGUAGGGGAGAAUGGAAUUCCUGGUGGAGCGGUGGAAUGCGCAGAUAUCAGGAGGAACACCAGUGGCGAAGGCGGUUCUCUGGGGCUUUCCUGACGCUGAGGGGCGAAAGCGUGGGGAGCGAACAGGCUUAGAUACCCUGGUAGUCCACGCUGUAAACGGUGGGUACUAGGUGUGGGGUCCAUUCCACGGGUUCCGUGCCGUAGCUAACGCUUUAAGUACCCCGCCUGGGGAGUACGGCCGCAAGGCUAAAACUCAAAGGAAUUGACGGGGCCCCGCACAAGCGGCGGAGCAUGCGGAUUAAUUCGAUGCAACGCGUAGAACCUUACCUGGGUUUGACAUGGAUCGGGAGUGCUCAGAGAUGGGUGUGCCUCUUUUGGGGUCGGUUCACAGGUGGUGCAUGGCUGUCGUCAGCUCGUGUCGUGAGAUGUUGGGUUAAGUCCCGCAACGAGCGCAACCCUUGUUCACUGUUGCCAGCACGUUAUGGUGGGGACUCAGUGGAGACCGCCGGGGUCAACUCGGAGGAAGGUGGGGAUGACGUCAAGUCAUCAUGCCCCUUAUGUCCAGGGCUUCACGCAUGCUACAAUGGCUGGUACAGAGAGUGGCGAGCCUGUGAGGGUGAGCGAAUCUCGGAAAGCCGGUCUCAGUUCGGAUUGGGGUCUGCAACUCGACCUCAUGAAGUCGGAGUCGCUAGUAAUCGCAGAUCAGCAACGCUGCGGUGAAUACGUUCCCGGGGCU